RNAcentral lists this ribosomal RNA (253 nucleotides) under uncultured bacterium. RNAcentral describes it as "partial 16S ribosomal RNA". It matches the Rfam family "Bacterial small subunit ribosomal RNA", at positions 524 to 776 of the family's 1533-position model. The record is from RNAcentral.
GACGAACCGUGCGAACGUUGUUCGGAAUCACUGGGCUUAAAGGGCGCGUAGGCGGCUGCGCAAGUCCGGGGUGAAAGCCCCCAGCUCAACUGGGGAAGUGCCUUGGAUACUGUGCAGCUCGAGCGAGGUAGGGGUCGUGGGAACUUCCGGUGGAGCGGUGAAAUGCGUUGAUAUCGGAAGGAACGCCGGUGGCGAAAGCGCACGACUGGACCUUUUCUGACGCUGAGGCGCGGAAGCCAGGGGAGCAAACGGG